UUAAGCAUAUCAAUAAGCGGAGGAAAAGAAACCAACAGGGAUUGCCCCAGUAACGGCGAGUGAAGCGGCAACAGCUCAAAUUUGAAAUCUGGCCUCGGCCCGAGUUGUAAUUUGCAGAGGAAGCUUUAGGCGCGGCACCAACUGAGUCCCCUGGAACGGGGCGCCAUAGAGGGUGAGAGCCCCGUAUAGUUGGACGCCUAGCCUGUGUAAAGCUCCUUCGACGAGUCGAGUAGUUUGGGAAUGCUGCUCAAAAUGGGAGGUAAAUUUCUUCUAAAGCUAAAUACCGGCCAGAGACCGAUAGCGCACAAGUAGAGUGAUCGAAAGAUGAAAAGCACUUUGAAAAGAGGGUUAAAUAGCACGUGAAAUUGUUGAAAGGGAAGCGCUUGUGACCAGACUUGCGCCGGGCCGAUCAUCCGGUGUUCUCACCGGUGCACUCGGCCCGGCUCAGGCCAGCAUCGGUUCUCGUGGGGGGAUAAAGGUCCCGGGAACGUAGCUCCUCCGGGAGUGUUAUAGCCCGGGGCGUAAUGCCCUCGCGGGGACCGAGGUUCGCGCAUCUGCAAGGAUGCUGGCGUAAUGGUCAUCAGCGACCCGUCUUGAAACACGGACCAAGGAGUCAAGGUUUUGCGCGAGUGUUUGGGUGUAAAACCCGCACGCGUAAUGAAAGUGAACGUAGGUGAGAGCUUCGGCGCAUCAUCGACCGAUCCUGAUGUCUUCGGAUGGAUUUGAGUAAGAGCGUUAAGCCUUGGACCCGAAAGAUGGUGAACUAUGCUUGGAUAGGGUGAAGCCAGAGGAAACUCUGGUGGAGGCUCGCAGCGGUUCUGACGUGCAAAUCGAUCGUCAAAUCUGAGCAU
Molecule: ribosomal RNA, 851 nt
Filed under: Chaetomium trigonosporum
Lineage: Eukaryota; Fungi; Ascomycota; Sordariomycetes; Sordariales; Chaetomiaceae
Description: LSU rRNA
Rfam family: Eukaryotic large subunit ribosomal RNA
Source: RNAcentral